Molecule: ribosomal RNA, 738 nt
Filed under: Triticum aestivum (bread wheat)
Lineage: Eukaryota; Viridiplantae; Streptophyta; Magnoliopsida; Poales; Poaceae
Description: partial small subunit ribosomal RNA
Source: RNAcentral
AUGGUUGAGGGUUCUACUCAGGACGUAGCUAACCUGAAGUUCCUCCUCCUGUGCUUCGAGCAGAUGUCGGGCCUAACGAUCAACUUCGACAAGAGUGAAGUGAUGGUUCUUGGGUACCCUCCAGUGGAAGCUCAGGUUAUCGCGGACCGACUUAACUGUCGGUUGGGCUCUUUCCCCGCGACCUACCUGGGGAUUCCCAUUAGUGAUUCGCGCCUCACCGUGGCGGACCUGCGCCCCACGGUGACCCGUAUGCAGCAUCGCGUCGAGCCCUAGAAAGGGCGCUGGCUGUCGCAGGCUGCGCGUGUGAUCCUCAUCAACUCCUCACUCGCCAGCCUUCUUUGGUUCCUCAUGAGCUUCUAUAGCCUUCACGAGACGCUGCACAAGGAAAUUGCCAAAUACCAGUCUAGAUUCUUCUGGGCUGGCGAGGAUGACAAGCAGAAGUACCAUAUGGUGAGCUGGCCGGAUAUCUGCAAACCCAAGGACCAAGGUGUUCUGGGGAUCUUGUCCUCCCGGCGCAUGAACAUUGCCCUCCUGACCCGCUGGUUAUGGCGCAUUGCUAAUGGCGAUGGAGGCCUUUGGCUCACCAUCAUCCGGAACAAGUACCUCUGUGGACAGCCUCUUGCAUUCGGUCAGCACACGGGCGGCUCCCAGUUUUGGCAGGCCGUCAUCCAGCUGCUCCCUGUGCUGCGCACUGGCACUUCCAUCUCGGUUGGUACUGGGUCUGCGACCUUGUUCUAG